GACGAACGCUGGCGGCGUGCUUAACACAUGCCAGUCGAGCGGCAAGAUGCUGCUUUUGUACGGUGCUCGAGAGGCGAACAGGGGAGUAACACAUGAGUAACAUGCCCUUGACUUUGGGAUAACUUCAGGAGACUGGGGCUAAUACCGGAUGUAAGAUCAUGCUGCAUGGUGGCGUUUGGAUAGUUUCGGCGGUGGGGGAUGAACUCGCGGCGUAUCAGAUUGUUGGUGGGGUAGUGGCUUACCAGGGAUUUGACGGGUAUCCGGCCUGAGAGGGUGACCGGCCACAUGGGGCGUGAGAUACGGCAGGGACUCCUACGGGAGGUAGGAGUGGGGAAGAUUGUCUAAUGGGGCGAAGCCGGAUGCAGCAAUGCCGUGCUCGGGAUGAUGGACUUCGGUUUGUAAACCGCUUUAGCCGUUGAUGAAGCGUGAUUGACGGUAAUGUGUAAAGAAGCACCGGCUAACUACGUG
Molecule: ribosomal RNA, 468 nt
Filed under: uncultured bacterium
Lineage: Bacteria
Description: partial 16S ribosomal RNA
Rfam family: Bacterial small subunit ribosomal RNA
Source: RNAcentral